Protopterus annectens (West African lungfish) is the source of this 2646-nucleotide long non-coding RNA. RefSeq lists it as uncharacterized. The record is from RefSeq and is a predicted model, not a curated record. The transcript is spliced from 3 exons. NCBI's taxonomy places the organism in Eukaryota, Metazoa, Chordata, Ceratodontiformes, Protopteridae.
AGGCUCCAGGUCAUGAAGCUGUUUUCAUGAAUGAACCAAGACUUUCUGAUUUCAAGCAGGUCCUUUUACGAGAAGGAAUCCAGGCAGAGUUUGUUGGAGGAGUACUUGUCUGCAAUAAUUUGGUGGCUGUUCGCAGGACUGAAGCUGGUCGCAUUGGAUUAGAAGGCAGCAUCUGUGAAGAUUACUAUAGAAUAAGACAACUUUUGUAUGAACAGUAUGCCAUCGUAUAGCAGAAUGCGAAAAGAAUUCAGAGAUAGAAUCCUGAUAAAAGUUGAUCUUCUUGUGAACUUUAUAAAGAAAGCUCCAUUUUUUAUUUUUACAAGCUGAACUUUUUAGUAAACUUUGGAAAGUACAGGCAUUGCAGUGAAUGCUACCAAGUGCAAGUGUUCCACUGUUAAGCAUGUUGAUUUGUAAACAUACUCAUAAAAUGAGUUCAAACUGCAUUCCAUUCUUCAAAGUGAUUGUUACUCAGCAUAGUUUAUUUAAUUUCACUGCACAGUGAAGAACCAUCUGACUGUAUUUUUGGCUUUCUUUUAAUUCUUGUAUGAAUAUGUCUGCAGAAAUAUAUGCUGGCUUCAUCUGCAUACAAAUGUAUGAAAGUUGCUUUGGGUUCUGCAGCAGGAACACAGUGGGCAGAUCUGUAAUGCCAAAUGCCAGUUUGACCUCCAGUGCAGUGGACUGCCAGCCUGCUGUGUAUGUCCUCUUUAAAACUAGGGACCUGAGUGACCUUAAGUGUACCAGCAUGAACACUGUGUCAUCCUUAUAAAAGUCAUCAAGGACCUGAAGUUGUAGUAAAUUGUAACUUAUUUGAGACCAUAUUAGUCUGUUAUAAGUAAACCAGUAUGAAUGUACAUAGAAAAUGUGACAAGGAAUAUGCUUUCCUGACUGUGGAAUUUAUACUUUCCUUUAAGGAUGCCUUUUUAUAUCUCCUUACUUGUACUGUGUUGAUUCAGCAUUCCACCUUUGUUGGAUUUAACGUUCCACAGAUGAUGAUGAUCAUGUUACAGUCAAGUUGCAUUGAUGGAUGUCAUUUUUGUCUUAAUCAUCAAUGAAAUUAUAGUGGGCUUCAUUUUCCAGAUGUUAACAUUUUGUAGUUCAUGCUUGAAGAGUUUAAAAACAAAAAACAUUUUAGCAGUUUAUUUUUCCCUUGUUUUAUGUAAAUGCUGUUUUUUUGAUAGACUUGGAUAGGACAUAAACAUACCACUUAAGUGGACUCUGUAAACUGUAAGUCAUUGUCCUAGCUUGUCUUUUCAUGUUUUAAUAAGCGACAUACCAAAAACAUGCCCCCCCCCAUGAGGUACUAAGUUUAUUUUCAGACCACAGUGUUAACGGAUGCAAUUUGAAUUUACUAUAAAAAUGAAAUAGCACAUGCCUAAUUGGUUUUCUUUCUUAAAAUUGUUGUAUUUAAAAAAAAAAGUUAGAGAACAGUCUGUAUUUUUUUUGUUUAUUUUCACUGGUAUUUGAGGAGAUAGAAUGUAGUAGUUAGGAAUCCUUUUAUGAUGAUCUUUAGGAAUCCUUUUAUGAUGAUCGUGUGACUUUAUAAAAAUUUUAAGCGUUGUAGCUCCUUGUAAAAAGAUGUUAAAAGCACAGUGUUGUAGCUGCUUGUAUAAACAUGCCAAAAGCGCAGAGUGUAUCAGAGAAGCGGAAACAGCAGGAGCCAUUUGUAAGCUAUUGGUUGCAUUUUAAUUUGUAAAGCAUAUUGCUCUUUACUGAUGAACAGCACAGUGAUGCAGCAGCUAGCAUUAUUGCAUCAUAAUAUUUGGUUCUUUAGUUUCACGCUCAGCUGUAGUGCCUUCUUUGCAGAGUCUGCACAUAGUCUCUGCGUGCCCAUGGGUUUUCGCCAAGUGCUCUCUUUCCCUCCCACAUCUCAAAUACUGGUGUGUAGGUGUGUAUGUAGUAUGUCAGCAUGUGUGAUGCGUGUCCUGCAAUGGGCAUCUCAAAGAUUGGUGUGUAGGUGUGUGCGCAAUAUGUGAGUGAGUGUGCUUUGUGUCCUGCAAUGGGCAUCUCAAAGAUUGGUGUGCAUGCAGUAUGUGAACGAGUGUGCUGUGUGUCCUGCAAUGGGCAUUUCAAAGAUUGGUAUGUAGGUGUGUGCGCAAUAUGUGAGUGAGUGUGCUUUGUGUCCUGCAAUGGGCAUCUCAAAGAUUGGUGUGUAGGUGUGUGUGCAGUAUGUGAGUGAGUGUGCUGUGUGUCCUGCAAUGGGCUGCCCCCCCUCCCCCCAUUUAGGAUUAAUUCCUUAGCUUUGCAGUCAGUGAAUGCAGGAAUAGUUAAAUUCCUCAGAGACAUCUAAAAAGGAGAUUGAAUGAAUCUGUCCAUGUUCGUGUUGUUUGGAAGAAGUGAGAGAUGUUCUGACUUCUCUUCAAUCUGGUAGGAUGACAAGGCAGUUAAGCAUAACUUUGUACUGCUUUUUUGUCAGGAUGAGAAUGCAAGAAUGAGUCAGUUUCAUCUGUUAGCACUUAUUUGAUCACAAUACCUGUGAAAUUCUACUUUUUUAGACUAAGAUCACUGACAUCAGCUUGUGUUUGCUGUCCAGAACAAGAAGAAACUAAGUUCUUAAACCACCUUUUGGAAGUAAAUGGAAGUCUUCACAGUGCUUGGCACAUUGAAAUAUGACGAUGUAAUAUUAAACUACAGUGAAGUUUAAAAUAA